GGGGGCGAUCUGGGUUCGACAUGGAUUCCGAAGCCGAUGGUGCCGUGCCGAGGUGCUCGAACAGCCUCGUUAAAGAAUCUCGGGAAACCAACAAUUGCCAACGACAACGUUGAGCUUGCACUGGCUGCGUGAAAACGCUCUAGGGCAACAAUGAUCUCUUAGUAGAUCACGUCGACCGGGAGGCCUCGCCUGUGGGUCCCCGGCGGCGUAAAAACAGCAGGCUUGGGCAGCGAGAGAUCCCUCUUCGCGAGUUGCCGACAUAAACGAAGGGGCCUCCGCGUACGUGGCGUGUUCAUGGGCAGCGGGCGAGGAGGUAAAGCCAUAAACGUGGACUACGCACGUAGAGCUGUCGAUGUGGACGGUUCGUGGACGCGGGUUCGAUUCCCGCCGCCUCCA
This 396-nucleotide transfer-messenger RNA is filed under the name marine eukaryotic metagenome. It matches the Rfam family "transfer-messenger RNA". Rfam says of the family: Bacterial tmRNA, also known as 10Sa RNA or SsrA, is named for its dual tRNA and mRNA-like properties. Its role is to liberate the mRNA from a stalled ribosome. To accomplish this part of the tmRNA is used as a reading frame that ends in a translation stop signal. The record is from RNAcentral.